Molecule: ribosomal RNA, 253 nt
Filed under: uncultured bacterium
Lineage: Bacteria
Description: partial 16S ribosomal RNA
Rfam family: Bacterial small subunit ribosomal RNA
Source: RNAcentral
GACGGUGGAUGCAAGCGUUAUCAGGAAUGAUUGGGCGUAAAGCGUUCGCAGGUGGCUGUUCAAGUAUGCUGUCAAAGACCGGGGCUUAACCCCAGAAAGGCAGUGGAAACUGAACGGCUGGAGUGCAGAUCGGGUAGAGGGAAUUCCCAGUGUAGCGGUGAAAUGCGUAGAGAUUGGGAAGAACACCGGUGGCGAAAGCGCUCUGCUGGACUGCAACUGACACUGAGGGACGAAAGCUAGGGGAGCGAAAGGG